This is a long non-coding RNA of Hyla sarda, 607 nucleotides long. RefSeq lists it as uncharacterized. The transcript is spliced from 3 exons. The record is from RefSeq and is a predicted model, not a curated record. Lineage: Eukaryota; Metazoa; Chordata; Amphibia; Anura; Hylidae.
CCCUGAUGUUAAAACAAGCUGUACUGCUCUAAUGGCCAUCCUAUACGGAAGUAUUCUUACCUAAAAGCAUUGCUUCAAGGGAAGAACAUCUCACAACCCAUACAGCCAUAUGCAGAGACUGGACUACUGGACAGGAAAAACUAUUUAAUGUACUAUUCUGACCCCUGGACAAUAGUAACAAUUGAGAACUGGUUUAUUUCCAAAACUGGACUAGAAACUUUGAUAAUUCUGGAAGUUAUCUCUUUGGCAGAAUAGAUGGGGAGCUUUGAGGCAGCUGCUGCUCGGUGGUGGUGUUGCUUCAUCAAGAGGCACCAAUUGUGGAGUGUAGCACUUCUCUUCCAGGCACUGAAGUCUAUCUAUCACAUCGUGACUGGAGAGGGUGCUAAAAUGCUGGAGAGGAUGGCUAACUUUCACUUGAGCUGCUGAAUUACUGUCUGUCCAGGGAGACUAAUCUAAGUUUCCAGCAGCAAGUAUCACAGACAGUGGCUAUAAAGCUUGAGCAUGCUGAAGAAGGUGGGGAAAGUGUCAUAAAUUAUACAUGUCAUAUUUCUAUCAUUCCAUCUUCUUUAAACCAAAGUAACAGAUAAAAUGCACAUAAAUGAUUUGU